This 440-nucleotide ribosomal RNA is filed under the name uncultured bacterium. RNAcentral describes it as "partial 16S ribosomal RNA". It matches the Rfam family "Bacterial small subunit ribosomal RNA", at positions 338 to 795 of the family's 1533-position model. The record is from RNAcentral.
CCUACGGGUGGCAGCAGUGGGGAAUAUUGCACAAUGGGCGAAACCCUGAUGCAGCGACGCCGCGUGAGUGAAGAAGUAUUUCGGUACGUAAAGCUCUAUCAGCAGGGAAGAACGUGACGGUACCUGAUAAAGAAGCCCCGGCUAACUACGUGCCAGCAGCCGCGGUAAUACGUAGGGGGCAAGCGUUAUCCGGAUUUACGGGGUGUAAAGGGAGAGUAGAUGGCAGAGCAAGGCUGGAGUGAAAAGCCCGAGCUUAACGCUGGAACUGCUUUCGAAACUGUGCAGCUAGAGUGCAGGAGAGGAUAGUGGAAUUCCUAGUGUAGCGGUGAAAUGCGUAGAUAUUAGGAGGAACACCAGUGGCGAAGGCGGCUUACUGGACUGUAACUGACGUUGAGGCUCGAAAGCGUGGGGAGCAAACAGGAUUAGAUACCCCAGUAGUC